RNAcentral lists this ribosomal RNA (452 nucleotides) under uncultured bacterium. RNAcentral's name for it is "bacterial SSU rRNA". It matches the Rfam family "Bacterial small subunit ribosomal RNA", at positions 351 to 794 of the family's 1533-position model. The record is from RNAcentral.
GCAGUCGAGGAUCUUUAGCAAUGGGCGAAAGCCUGACUAUGCGACGCCGCGUGAGGGGUGAAGGUUUUCGGAUCGUAAACCUCUUUCGAUGGGGAAGAAGCUCCUCGGCAAUAACACUGCCGAGGGUUGACGGUACCUAGAGAAGAAGCCACGGCCAACUCCGUGCCAGCAGCCGCGGUAAUACGGGGGUGGCGAGCGUUACUCGGAUUCAUUGGGUGUAAAGGACAGGUAGGCGGCUAUGUAAGUUGGAGGUGAAAUCCUGCGGCUCAACCGCAGAACUGCCUUCAAAACUGCAUGGCUUGAGGCUAGAAGAGGAGAGCGGAAUUCCCGGUGUAAGGGUGAAAUCUGUAGAUAUCGGGAGGAACACCAGUGGCGAAGGCGGCUCUCUGGUUUAGCCCUGACGCUGAUCUGUGAAAGCUAGGGGAGCAAACAGGAUUAGAUACCCUAGUAGU